AUGCCUACUCGGAAGGAGACUGGAGAAGGGGGGGGUCUCCCUCAACGGAGAGUGGGUGUGUUGUUGGCUGAGGAGGGGGCAGUGGAUGCUAGGCAGGCAGAAUUACAGGCAUCCUUUUUCACUGUGGAACAGGGGAGGCUCGCUUAUCAGGGUGACCAUUAGAAAGUCAUCCUAGUGGCAGGGAGUGGCAGAGAGACCAGCAGUGAGCUGUUGCAGCAGUUCAGUUGGGAGUUUCUGGAGGCGAAAGUGGUGAUUAUAACCCUCCCCAAGCGAAGCAUAUGUGAAUUUCCAGACCAGAGAUGGAGGAAGACGAAACUGUAUGUGUUUACUAAAAGAGAGGCCAACCUGCCCCCGACGCUGGCCAAAUCUCAGGUGAGCAGCGUGCGUAAGAAUCUGAAGCUGCACCUGUUGAGUGUGCUGAAGCACCCGGCUUCCUUGGAGUUCCAGGCCCAGAUCACCACCCUGCUGGUGGACCUGGGCACACCUCAGGCCGAGAUCGCCCGCAACAUGCCGAGCAGCAAGGACACCCGCAAGCGGCCCCGCGAUGACUCGGACUCCACACUCAAGAAGAUGAAGCUGGAGCCCAACCUGGGGGAGGAUGAU
Molecule: small RNA, 603 nt
Filed under: Pongo abelii (Sumatran orangutan)
Lineage: Eukaryota; Metazoa; Chordata; Mammalia; Primates; Hominidae
Description: processed transcript
Source: RNAcentral